RNAcentral lists this ribosomal RNA (254 nucleotides) under uncultured bacterium. RNAcentral's name for it is "partial 16S ribosomal RNA". It matches the Rfam family "Bacterial small subunit ribosomal RNA", at positions 524 to 776 of the family's 1533-position model. The record is from RNAcentral.
UACAGAGGGCGCGAGCGUUGUUCGGAAUUACUGGGCGUAAAGCGCGCGCAGGCGGCUCUUUAAGUCCGCUGUGCAAAUGCCGGGGCUCAACCCCGUGCCCGCCAGGGAUACUGGAGAGCUGGAGACACGUAGAGGCAAGCGGAAUCCCGGGUGUAGCGGUGGAAUGCGUAGAGAUCCGGAAGAACACCGGAGGCGAAGGCGGCUUGCUGGGCGUAGUCUGACGCUGAGGCGCGAAAGCGUGGGGAGCGAACAGG